RNAcentral lists this RNase P RNA (624 nucleotides) under Acidobacteriota bacterium. RNAcentral's name for it is "Acidobacteria bacterium RNase P RNA component class A". It matches the Rfam family "Bacterial RNase P class A". From Rfam's summary of the family: Ribonuclease P (RNase P) is a ubiquitous endoribonuclease, found in archaea, bacteria and eukarya as well as chloroplasts and mitochondria. Its best characterised activity is the generation of mature 5'-ends of tRNAs by cleaving the 5'-leader elements of precursor-tRNAs. The record is from RNAcentral. Lineage: Bacteria; Pseudomonadati; Acidobacteriota.
UGAGCAAGUUGGGUGAUCGCUGCUUCGUAGUUUUCAGGUUUCAAAUCUGAGAUCUGAGCGACUCGAAGGAGAGGAAAGUCCGAACACCGUAGGGCAGCGAGCCCGCUAACGGCGGGGCGCCGGAACGGAUCGCGGAUUUCAGAUCUUGGAUUUGGGAUUGACGGUCUGGCGAAUUUCGGUGACGACAAGUGCAACAGAAAAAACACCAGCCAACCGGCUUGGGGUUUUGGGAUUUCAAAUCUGAAAUCUCAAAUUCUCAAGUCGAGGUGAUGGGUGAAAUGGUGCGGCCCGCAAGGGCUUAAUGUAAGAGCGCACCGGCGCGUGUGGUGACAUGCGCGGCCAGGCAAACUCCUCGCGGUGCAAGAUCAAAUAGGGAGGCGUGACAGGGCUGCCCGCCCGAAGCAGUUCGGGAAUCUUGAAUUUGGAAUUUGAGAUUUCAGUAUUGCUACGACCUCCGGGUAGAUCGCUUGAUCCGAUCGGCAACGAUCGGGCUAGAGGAAUGAUCGCCGCUUUGGUCGAUCUCAGAUUUGGAUCUCAGAUCUCGAGUAUGAUCAUUUCAGAUCUCAGAUUUGAGUUCUGAGAUCGACUGGAGAACAGAAUUCGGCUUACAGACUUGCUCUAUUU